GGUGGCUUAGUAGUAGAGUGUUUGCCUUGUAUGCAUGAGGACCUGGGUUCGAUUCCUUGGUACCA
This 65-nucleotide transfer RNA is filed under the name Dipodomys ordii (Ord's kangaroo rat). It matches the Rfam family "tRNA". From Rfam's summary of the family: Transfer RNA (tRNA) molecules are approximately 80 nucleotides in length. Their secondary structure includes four short double-helical elements and three loops (D, anti-codon, and T loops). The record is from Rfam by way of RNAcentral. Lineage: Eukaryota; Metazoa; Chordata; Mammalia; Rodentia; Heteromyidae.